CCUACGGGACGCAGCAGUGGGGGAUAUUGCACAAUGGGGGAAACCCUGAUGCAGCGACGCCGCGUGUGGGAAGACGGUCCUCUGGAUUGUAAACCACUGUCCCCAGGGACGAAAAUGACGGUACCUGGGGAGGAAGCUCCGGCUAACUACGUGCCAGCAGCCGCGGUAAUACGUAGGGAGCGAGCGUUGUCCGGAAUUACUGGGUGUAAAGGGAGCGUAGACGGCGGCGCAAGUCCGGAGUGAAAGCCCACGGCCCAACCGUGGGACUGCUCUGGAAACUGUGCGGCUUGAGUGCGGGAGGGGCG
This 305-nucleotide ribosomal RNA is filed under the name uncultured bacterium. RNAcentral describes it as "bacterial SSU rRNA". It matches the Rfam family "Bacterial small subunit ribosomal RNA", at positions 338 to 659 of the family's 1533-position model. The record is from RNAcentral.